RNAcentral lists this long non-coding RNA (16509 nucleotides) under Podarcis lilfordi (Lilford's wall lizard). The record is from RNAcentral. Lineage: Eukaryota; Metazoa; Chordata; Lepidosauria; Squamata; Lacertidae.
GGUCCUCCAGAGCCAAGGCCCCUCCCUCCCCAGUCCUUUCCUGCUUUGGUGUCUCCCUGGGAUCUGGUGAGUCUCCUCUCUCUCUGGGAUCUGGUGGGGGUCCCAGGGCUGGGGCAGGGGAGGGUGCCUGGGGGGCCUGAUCUGCUCCUGCAGGGGGGGGGACCCCAAGUCAGGGAGGAGAGGGUCCUGCCAGGGAGGGGCCAGGUCUGCCACGCUCUCCUUCCUGCAGAUCAGAGGAUCCCAAACUCAUUUGGCCUUCCCCCCCCCUUCAGAAAAACAAUGACUCCCCCGAAAUCUCAUUUCUUUAAAGAAAGGAGUCCGAUUACACAACAGAGGGAACAAAUGUGCAAAUGGUUUUCCAAAGCUGGAGGAGGAGGUGGACACUCUAGCCCCUCCCCCCCAAAAAAAGGUGGGAGAGAAAGGCCAGGAAUAAAGAGAGGGAUCCCAGCCCAGAGUCUGGCUGCUGCAUUGGAGGCCAGUUUCCCAGUGUCUCCAAGCUCAGCUCCCCAUGGAGGCCACUGCAGCAAUCCCCUCGCACCCAGAGCAGGGCAUCCCAGGACCACAUCCUCUCUCUGUCCCAAAGGGAUUGUUGCUGGAAAAGCAGCCGGAAAUUACCCACAGCUACUCACCGAGCCUCCAGGGUUAAGCUAUCUAAUUGAAUAAUAAUAAUAAAUUACCCACCUAAAUUUCAAGGGAGAUGUCUUUGGCCCCGCCCACUGGGCCCUCAGGGGGUUGACCAGAUGCAUACCUGGCCCUCAGAGCAAAGAAAAAGGGACCCCACCCCAGGAGUUUGUCUUGAGAGUGGCAGAGAGUCCAAGUGCAAUAAAAGGAGACAGAAGCAGGGGAGUGGGGAUGGGGGGAGAGCAACUUCUGAGGACCCCCAGGUGAGGACCCCCACUAGAGCCAAACAUCCAUUAUGCAAAAGAUACAAAUGACUUCCUUGUCAGUCAGGUCUGACUUCAUGCAUUGCCUCUGUUUCUCUGUUUUGAAUCCUUGUUUCUUUCUCAGGGAAAGGAUCUCUUUGCAGAAAUGGACCUGGAUUCCUGUGAGGCAGAGAGGCCUCCGUUGGACACCAGAGAGAGGCCACUGGGUAAGGAGGAAGGUGGUUUUACUCCAUUUGGUCUCAUUCUGUUGGUUUUCCAACUCAUCUCAGGGUUCUUUUCAUCUUGUUUUGGGGGGAGACAGUUGGGAGGAAGGGUCCAGAGGAAGGGAGAUGUAUUUCUGCACAAACAAACAUAUGAAAUGGGCACAAACAUCCAAAUGCUCUCAGUAGGUAAGUCCUUCUCAAAGGCCCAUCUGUAGCUAGAGAUGCCCUGUUUCACCUGUGAGAGAAGCAGGCACUCCUGGCAUCCUGAUUACCUUUUUUCUCUUGCAGAUGGCAGAAGGAUGCCAGCAAGACCUCCUGAUCCCCCUUUUCCUGGGGGCCGAAGGGAAGCAGCAGCUGUGGAACCAGAUCAGGUCAGGGGAAGCUGCCUUGUGGGGACAGAGGCCGAGGGAUGGAGCAAUGUCAUGGACUGGUUGGGCACAGAGGAAUGGUGGGAGGAAGCAGCCAGGGAACCAGGAAGGGAAGACGGCUCAGAGCCGAAGGAGUGGAAGUGGGGGAAGGAUGAGCGGUCAGAGGGAGAAGCCUGGGAAGAGGAAGUGUCAGAAGCUGGAAUGGUAACUGGGCUUAGUGGGCUUGGAGACUCUGUGGCAGAAUGCAGUGCAGAAUCAGAGGCAGAAGAGGAAGGAGAUGAGUGGGCAGAGGGAGGGCGAGAGGCAGAGGUGAGUCAGGAUAAGGAGGAGCCACUGGGGGCUCACUCUCCUUCUCAUAGAAUCAUAGAAUCAUAGAGUUGGAAGAGACCACAAGGGCCAUCGAGUCCAACCCCCUGCCAAGCAGGAAACACCAUCAGAGCACUCCUGACAUAUGGUUGUCAAGCCUCUGCUUAAAGACCUCCAAAGAAGGAGACUCCACCACACUCCUUGGCAGCAAAUUCCACUGUCGAACAGCUCUUACUGUCAGGAAGUUCUUCCUAAUGUUUAGGUGGAAUCUUCUUUCUUGUAGUUUGGAUCCAUUGCUCCGUGUCCGCUUCUCUGGAGCAGCAGAAAACAACCUUUCUCCCUCCUCUAUGUGACAUCCUUUUAUAUAUUUGAACAUGGCUAUCAUAUCACCCCUUCUGCCAGAAGCCACCCUCCCUGCUUGUCUCUCAGAGCCAGGAGAUGUCUGACAAUGGAGGAGCAAAGGCAAGCUGCACACUGGCGCACUGUUCGAUCACUUGCCAGAAACCCCAGAGAGAAGGGGACUUAGAAAGCUGUCGGGAGCCGACGGCCUUCAUUCUCUGCAACUGAUUUCAUUGAGGAAGAUGCUCAGGGAAUGAGCUGCUGUUCUCAUUAGGUCUGAAACUCAGCCAAGUCUGCGAAUAUCAUGUUCUUGCUGAUAAAGAGUUAACUCCAGCUGUGAACUGUGGGAUUUCCUGCCCAUUUAACUCUGCUAUACCAGCCUUCUGAACGUCACCACUACGAUUCAUCAGUAGUUGCUGUUUUCAUAGACUCCUAGAGUUGAAAGGGACCCCAAGGGUCAUCAAGUCCAACCCCCUGCAUUGCAGGAGUCUCAGCUAGAUCAUCCAAGACAGAUGGCCAUCCAGACUAGGCUUAUUGUAUUUCUAUGCUGAUCAUUGAAUGCUAAAAUUUCUAAGAAGUGUACAAAUGAGAACAAAUAGUGGCCAGCAUUCACCUAACCAGCCCCAUAAGAUGAAAAAUGGGGCCUGCCCCCCAUCCCUCCCCCUCUCCACGCCUCCCUGAACCCAUUGAAUUUGGCUCUGGGGCAUUGGGAGGGAACCUCCCCAGAACAACUCACGAGGAGAGGAGAAAGUGGAUCCUUCCAUCUGGGAAACUGGAAUGCUUGGGUAGGCAGAAUGAUUUGAAAACCACAAUGUGGAGUACCACCUAUUUGCACAAAGUCGAAUACCCAUACUGUAAGGGAGUCUCGAUAACGAGAGUACUUGAUUAAAAGCAAGAUUUAUUGCAAAACAAACGAAGUUCAUCGGAGCGGCAAGCAUGGCCAUCCUUCCAUAAUCAAAGAUGUCUCUUCUAAGGAGGGGGCUUCCAGUGAGCCCAGAAGCAGUCAAACUUCCAUGGUCUUUCCUGCUCUCUAAAUUGCUUUCCUUUCUAACUGCUGUGUUUUGUUCUUCACUGACCCUCAGGCAGGCUGCAGGCUGACUCUCUGAACUCUUGUUUUCAGUUUGCAUUCCUAAGGGAGGGGGAGUUGACUCCCGUGUAACCCUCUCUCUCCCUGGCUGCUUCCUUCCCUGGGAGCUGGCUCAUUCAUGUCACAUACACAACCGAGUUUUCUGUAGCGGAUCAUAUUUCUGCUGUCUCAGAGGAGGACUUUUCCCUUUUUCUUUCAGGGUCCAGUGUGCUUGGAAGAUGCUGCUGUUCGUUUCACGGACGAGGAGUGGGCGUUGCUGGAUCCUGACCAGAGAGCUCUGCAUAUGGACGUCAGGGAGGAGAAUCGUGGGAUUGUGGCCUCUCUUGGUAAGGCUCCCUGUGGAAUUGUCCUAUCUGCCUGGAAAUUCAAAAAAUGCCUCUAUGUGAGGAACCUCAUCUAUUUUCAGAGCUCAACAGUGUCCCCUACAACCCGUGGGAUCCUAACACCAUCAUCAUCAUCAUCAUCAUCGUCAUCUUUAUUAUUUAUACCCCGCCUAUCUGGCUGGGUAUAAUUUGCUGGGUUGAACAACAAAUUACUAUUCUUUCUGUGAACAGUCUUCCUCCAGUCCUGCCUUUUUAUACCAUGAUGGGGCUGGGCUGGACUGCCCAGGCCAUCUUAAAUGUCAGCUUCAGAGUUGUUGGGAAAGAUAAGUAACCUCUGUCAGGUUUUCUGUUUUUGCUCCUGUCAAUCUUGGGUUAACCAACGAGACAGCUGGCAUUGGGGAUGGAGGGGAUGCCAUGACUGGGCCAAACAAAAUCCAUCCCAGAGAACAGGCAGGCUUUUCGAAUCUCAGAUAAUAAUAGUAAUAAUAGUGAUAAUAGUAAUAAUAGUAAUAAUAAUUUGUUCAUACCCUGCCCAUCUGACUGGGUUUCCCAGCCACUCUGGGCAGCUCCAAGCAGAAGAUUACAACCACGAUGAAACAUCAAAUAUUAAAAUCUUCCCUGAACAGGGCUGUCUUCAGAUGUCUUCUAAAAGUCUGAUAGUUGUUUAUUUCAUUAACAUCUGAUGGGAGGGCAUUCCACAGGGCGGGCGCCACUACCAAGAAAGCCCUCUGCCUGGUUCCCUGUAACCUCACUUCUCUCUGUCAGGGAACCACCAGAAGGCCCUCGGAGCUGGACCUCAGUGUCUGGGCUGAACGAUGGGGGUGGAAACGCUUCUUUGGGUAUACUGGGCCAAGACCGUUUAGGGCUUUCAAGGUCGGCACCAACACUUUGAAUUGUGCUCGGAAACGUACUGGGAGCCAGUGUAGGUCUUUCAGGUCUGGUGUUAUUUGGUCUCAGCCUGCAUACCAAAUGGAGCUGGUAGACAGCUGCCCUAGACACUGAAUUGACCUGCACCUCCAUGGACAGCUGUGUGUCCAAAAAGGAAAAAGCGAGGGAGAGGGGGGAAAGAAAAGAAAAGAAAAGAAAAGAAAAGAAAAGAAAAGAAAAAGGAAUAAAAGUAUGAAUAGAGUAAAAAACAUAGUAAUAUCUCAUAUUUCAGUCAGCAAAGAAAAGAAACUUCCGACUAUACCCAUUGUACUAAUUUUCAAAUAAACUGUUAUUUACACAGUUACACAACAUUGUUUUUUGUUAACUUAAUUUAACUUUAUCUGACAUGUACUUUGUAUUACAAGGCUCCUUCAAUAUCUGCCAGAAAACUUUUACUAUUCCAGUACUCUCUGAGGUAUUCCUUAAUUAUUAACCAAUCCUUAUUUACUUCUUGUUUUUUUUUUUUUAAAGAUAUUUAUUAAAGUUUCACAAAAAUACAGAAAACAAAGAAAAAAGUGUAAAUUACAGCAAAAAAGCAAAAAGUAAGAAAAAACAUACAAAAUAAAACAGUUAAAAACACAAUAAUGUUCCAUAACCUAUCUUCCUUACUCUUAUUUCCCCAGACCUCCUCAUACCUCCCUUCUUUGUAUUCCAAUUCAGUUUGUUGGUUCAGCAAAUCCUUACCAUUAAUCUUUUACCCAAUUGUUAACCUUUUUUUCCCAUGUCUCUUAAAGCAUUACAGCUAAAAACCUCUUAAUUUCUAUCCAGCAUCCUUCUAAAGUUCCUUAAUUUUACAAUAUUUCUGUAAAUAGUCCUUAAAUUUUUUCCAGUCUUCUUUCACCGACUCUUCUCCCUGGUCUCGGAUUCUGCCAGUCAUUUCCGCCAAUUCCAUGUAGUCAAUCACCUUCAUCUGCCAUUCUUCCAAAGUGGGUAGAUCUUGUGUCUUCCAAUACUUUGCGAUAAGUAUUCUUGCUGCUGUUGUAGCAUACAUGAAAAAGGUUCUGUCCUUCUUUGGCACCAGUUGGCCGACAAUGCCCAAGAGAAAGGCCUCUGGUUUCUUCAGAAAGGUAUAUUUAAAUACCUUUUUCAGUUCAUUAUAUAUCAUUUCCCAGAAAGCCUUAAUCUUUGGGCACGUCCACCAAAGGUGAAAGAAUGUACCUUCAGUUUCUUUACAUUUCCAACAUUUAUUAUCGGGCAAAUGAUAAAUUUUUGCAAGCUUGACUGGGGUCAUGUACCACCUGUAUAUCAUUUUCAUAAUAUUCUCUCUUAAGGCAUUACAUGCCGUAAACUUCAUACCUGUGGUCCAUAACUGUUCCCAGUCAGCGAACAUAAUAUUAUGUCCAACAUCUUGUGCCCAUUUAAUCAUAGCAGAUUUCACCGUUUCAUCCUGAGUAUUCCAUUUCAACAGCAAGUUAUACAUUCUUGACAAAUUUUUAGUUUUGGGUUCUAACAAUUCUGUUUCUAAUUUUGACUUUUCCACUUGGAAGCCUAUUUUCUUAUCCAAAUUAUAUGCCUCCAUUAUCUGAUAGUAGUGGAGCCAAUCUCUCACUUUAUUUUUUAAUUUUUCAAAACUCUGCAGUCUCAAUUUAUCUCCUUCUUGCUCCAAAAUUUCCCAAUAUGUCGGCCAUUUGGCCUCCAUAUUGAGCCUUUUCAGAGCUUUUGCUUCCAUUGGUGACAGCCACCUUGGGGUUUUAUUUUCCAAUAAGUCUUUGUAUCUUAUCCAGACAUUAAACAAUGCUUUCCUAACAAUAUGAUUUUUAAAUGCUUUGUGUGCUUUGACCUUAUCAUACCAUAAGUAUGCAUGCCAUCCAAAUACAUUGUUAAAACCUUCUAAAUCCAAAAUGUCUGUAUUUUCAAGAAGUAGCCAUUCUUUCAGCCAGCAAAAAGCUGCUGAUUCAUAAUAAAGUUUAAGGUCUGGCAGGGCAAAUCCACCUCUUUCCUUGGCAUCAGUUAAUAUCUUAAAUUUUAUUCUGGGCUUCUUGCCCUGCCAGACAAAUCUAGAAAUAUCUCUCUGCCACUUCUUGAAACAGUCCAUCUUAUCUACAAUUUGUAAUGUCUGAAACAAAAACAACAUUCUAGGCAAUACAUUCAUCUUUAUCACAGCAAUACGGCCCAGCAACGAGAGUUUCAAAUUUGACCAAAUUUCUAAAUCUUUUUCACUUCCGUCCAACAUUUUUCGUAAUUAUCUUUAAAUAAGUUCCCAUUUUUGGCUGUCAUAUUAAUCCCCAAGUAUUUCACUUUCUUUACCACAUUCAAUCCUGUCUCAUUCUGAAACCUCUCUCUUUCAAUCGGUGUUAAGUUUUUCUCUAAAACCUUAGUUUUUAACUUGUUCAAUUUAAAACCUGCCACCUGACCAAAUUCCUGAAUUAAUUCUAAAACUCUUUUAGUACUAGAUUCUGGCUCCUGUAACGUCAAUACUAGGUCAUCUGCAAAUGCUCUCAAUUUGUACUGUUUAGCUCCGACCUGUAUGCCCUUAACCAACCGGUCCUUUCUAAUCAUAUUUAGCAAAACCUCCAGGACCGAUAUAAAAAGCAGUGGGGAAAUUGGGCACCCCUGUCGUGUCCCUUUUUCUAUCUUAAAUUCUUCCGUAACCACAUUAUUUACGAUUAAUUUAGCCUUUUGUUCAGAGUAUAUUGCACCUAUACCAUUUUCAAAACCUUGGCCUACCCCCAUCCCAUGCAGAUUCUUCUUCAUAAAACUCCAAGAGAUAUUAUCAAAAGCUUUCUCCGCGUCAACAAAUAUCAAUACUGCUUUGGUGUUUAUAUUCACUUCUAAUUUUUCCAAAAUAUCAAUUAUAUUCCUCAAAUUAUCAGACAGGUGUCUUCCCGGGAGAAAGCCCGCUUGGUCUUUAUGAAUCUCUUUCAUCAAUAUUUUUUCAAUCUCUUGGCCAAAAUGUCUGCAAAAAUUUUGUAAUCCACAUUAAGUAACGAUAUAGGGCGAUAGUUCUUAAGCUGAGUCUUUUCAGUCUCUGUUUUCGGUAUAAGUGUGAUAUACGCCUCUUUCCACGAUUCUGGUGCCCUUUUCCCUCCAGUAUUUCAUUGCAGACUUCCUUCAAAGGUUGCAGUAACCACUCUUUCAAAGAUCUAUAGUAUCUGGAAGUCAGCCCAUCCGGUCCUGGAGAUUUGCCCAAUUGCAUAUUUUGUAUGGCACCUUCUACUUCCUGUUCAGAUAUUUUAUAGUUCAGCAUUAAUUUACUUUCUUGAGAGAUUUUUGUAGGCCAUUUGUCUUCAAAAAUUGGUCUAUGUCCAUUUCCUUCUGUGGCCCUUGUGUGUAUAAUUGUUUAAAGUACUUCUGGAAGCAAUUUCUAAUCUCAUUUGGAUUAUGUAUACUCUUUCCUUCCACUUCUAAAUUUAUAAUAGUAUUUAAUUUUUGUCUUUUUUUCAUUUGCCAGGCCAACAGUUUUCCACAUUUAUUAGCUGAUUCAAAUGUUUUUUGUCUCAUUUGUUUGAUUUUCCAUUCUAUUUCCUGAUUCAUCAUUUCCAUAUAUUGUACUUGAUAUAAUUUUAUUUCUCUCAAAAUAUCCUGGGACUUUGGUUUUGCUCUCAAUUUCUUCUCUCCUUCUUUUAUUUUUUCCAAAAUUUUAUCUUUCUUUUCAUUUUGACUUCUCUUCUUUAUUGCAUUCUGUUGUAUCAAAAACCCUCUCAUCACAGCUUUGCUUGCGUCCCAGAUUACUCUUUUUUCUACAUUGGUAUUCAUAUUUAUUUCAAAAUAGUCUCUCAAAGUCUUUUGGGCCUUUUUGUAAACUUCUUCAUCUCUAAAUAAGGUGUCAUUCAUCCUCCAUCUAAAGGAUCCGGUUGUUGUUUGUUUCAUCUCCAUCCUUACAGCAUUAUGGUCGGAACAAGUUUUUGGGCAGAUUUCUACCUUCUUUAUCUUUGGUGCCAUUCCUCUAGUUAUCCAUAUUUGGUCAAUUCUAGUCCAUGUCAUCUUGGCUUCAGAAAAAAGGUUCCUUCUCUUCCCAGGGGUUCUUUACCCUCCAGAUGUCCACUAAGUCCAUAUUGUCUGUCAUCUCAAAAAAGUUUUCGGUAGUCUACCAUCCUUGGUGACUACCUGUCUUUGAGCCUUGUCCAUAUUUGUAGAUACUACUCCAUUCAUGUCCCCCAUCAAAAUCAAAUUAUAGUCCAAAUGAUCCAAUAAAGUCUCAUGCAACUUUUUAUAGAAUUCAGAUUUCCCCUCGUUCGGUGCAUAAAUUCCCAUGAUUAAGAAUUUCUCUCCUUGUAGUUGAAUUUCAAUUGCCAAAAAUCUUCCUUGAUCAUCUUUAAAGAUAAAUUUCGGUAAAAGUCUCUCCUUUGCAUAAAUCACGACUCCUCUUUUUUUUAACUUUGUCAGAUGAGACAAACUCCUGUCCUAAUCUUUUAUUAAUCAAUAACUUCCUAUGUGCCCUUAUUAUAUGUGUCUCUUGUAGACAAAUCAAGUCCAAUUGUUCUUUUUUAAUAAAUGAAACACACUUUUUCUUUUCGCGGAGAAUUCAAACCGUUACAAUUCCAGCUUAAUAGUUGCAGAGCCAUGGUGGGGGCUACUUCACUUUACCUCCAACUGCCCCAAGUGCCGCUUCUUGUUCUGUGGGUAGUAUCACUUUUUCUGGACCGUGCAGUCCAAAAGAUAAAUUUGAUAUGUCUAGUAUGCCUUUUGGUUCUUCUUCAGAUUCCCCUUCUUUCAGUAGAUCUUCCUCGUGGUCUUUCAAGAAUCUGUCUUUUUCCUCAGUUGAUUUUAUUUUUAUCUUUCUCACUUUAUAUUUUAAGGACAGGCCUUGCGGAAAUUCCCACCUGAAAAGAAUUCUGUUUCUUUUCAAUAAGGUCACUAGGUCUCCGUAAUUGGACCUUAAGUCCAGCAAAUGCUUUGGGAUGUCCUUAAAAAUCACUAGUCUUGAGUCAUCAAUUUCCAAAGUUUUUUGAUAGUGCAAAUUCAGAAUUUUAUCUCUCUCUUCUUUUGUUUGAAAGGUAAUCAAACAGUCUCUCACCUUGCCCUUGCCUUGUCAUCUUCCGAGCCUAAAUGCAUUCACUAUCUUAAAUUCUUCCUUCCCCGGGUCCAAUUGCCAAAAAUCUGUAAAUUCCUGUGUAAGAAAGUCAGCCAAAUUAUCUUUCUCCCGCUCUGGAACAGCCCUAAUUCUCAGAUUUCUCUGUCUAUCUUUUAAUUCAAACAUGGAAAAUGUCACAUCAUGGUCCUCCAAUUUCUUAUAUACAGGUGGAAUUUUCUCCUGAGUAGCAAUUGCAAUAUCUUUUGCUUCCUGUGCAGUUUGUCGAAUCAAGGCAGAUUCCUGUAGUAAUUUUUCGAUAGUCUCUGUGUUGGCAUUCACCUUCUGUCCCAAGGUAUUUAUACUUGCAGUAUUUAAAUCAAUUUUAUUUGAUGCUUCCACAACUUGUCUAUUUGUCUCAACUACUUGCCUAUUUGUUUCUGCUACUUGUCUAUUUGUCUCAAUUACCUGUUUACUUAGGCUUUCCAAAGAUUCAUUAAUUUUUGCCAGAGCCUGUGCCAAAACUUCUUCUGACGUCAUAACUUUUGAUUUAGACUGUGGGAGUGGGGCCCCUAAUGCUCCAGAUGCUCCAGAUGUUGAGCCCCUUCGCGGCAACGCAGUAUCUAUCUGAUAAUAUCUGCCAGAUCUAGUAAUUUUUUCCUGCGAUUCCGCCUUAUCCUCUGCCAUAACAGUCUCAUAGACAUUCAAGGUCGCUCCCACAGUCAACCAAUUGUUUUGACAUAGAGUGGAAUUUUCCUCUUUGUAACUAUUGUUGUAACAAUGUCCAAUCUCCUCUAGGGAGACACAGUAACAGCCAGAACUUGUAACUUUUUAAAAACAAAAAUAGUCUUUAUAAAUCCCCCAAUUUACUUUCGAAGUCCACAGUCUCAAUACAUUUAAACAGUUACUUUUAAGCCAAAAGAGGUUUGGAAACACUGUAUCACUUUUGCAGAAUUGGCUGUCAGAAACAAACUUUCACUAUAAACCUCUGUCUUAAGGCAGUCCGUUCUGAAUCUUAAAUUGUAAAUUCUUCCUUCCUCUCCCCUUCUUUACUGCAGGGAAAUUCAGCUCAGUCUUUUUCACCCUCCUCCCCUGCAAUCCGGAGGGGGAACCACUUUCAAGAUGUUGGAAUUUAGCACAUUUAAAUGACUUUCCAAGUUUCUGCUUUGAAGUCUCUUUGCUUUGAUCUAUUUACAAUUCAGGGGAGGUAGACUUCCUGCUUGUACGUUCCCCGCUCAUGCCAAAUUAACUUUUUUCCCCUUUAAAUCCAAUUUACUCCUACUCACGGGUAGUUGUUUUCAGUGCCAAUUAUCCCAGGAAAAAAGGCAGAGCUCUCCGGUAACAGCUUCGCGGCUUCACUCCACGGAAGAAGCAAUUUGCUCACAGCACCACGCCACCCCGCUCCGCUCCGGAGCCCGUUGCCGAGCUCCUUUAGCAAUUGGGGGGGCGCAAACGGUGCCCGCUGAGUCCCACGUUCACAGGCUUCACCCGCCUGUGAUUUAUUUGGGGGUCCCCGCUGCGCCGUAGCGACAGGACCCAAAUUCCGUAGAGCUAGUUCUCUCCAAAUUAGAGAGAAGCAGCCAUUACCGUUGGCUCCACCUCUUCUUGUACAGUGGUGCCCCGCAAGACGAAUGCCUCGCAAGAUGAAAAACUCGCUAGACGAAAGGGUUUUUCGGUUUUGCGUUGCUUCGCUAGACGAAUUUCCCUAUGGGCUUGCUUCGCAAGACGAAAACGUCUUGCGCUUUUUUUUUAAAGCCGCUUGAAGAGGCGCAGUUGCGACGGACCGUGCUUCGCAAGACGAAAAACAUCGCAAGACAAAAAGACUCGCGGAACGAAUUCUUUUCGUCUUGCGAGGCACCACUGUAUUGUAUUUCCUCUUAUUGACCCCGUUCUCCUUGCUAAUUGUAAGUACUCUAUCAAUGUGGCUUGCCAUUCAAUCUUUGAGGGGAUGAUGUCGUGUUUCCUUUUUCCUCUAUUAAAAUCCUUGCUGCAGUUGAAGCAUACAUGAAUAGUGGUCUGUAUUUCUUUUGGAUUUCUGGUGUCAUAAGACCUAAUAGGAAUGCCUCAGGUUUUUUAGGGAAUGAAAUUUUAAACAUUUUCUUUAACUCAUUGUAGAUGGUAUCCCAAAAAUCUUUAAUCUUGUCACAUUCCCACCACAUAUGCAUGUAAGUUCCAUUUCUUUUUUUGCAUCUCCAACAUAAGUCUGACCUGUUCUUAUAUAUUUUGGCUAGUUUUGCUGGUGUCAAGUGCUAUCUAUAUAACAUUUUCAAAACAUUUUCUCUUAAGUUCAUACAUACAGUAAAUUUGAUGUCAACUCUCCACAGUUUUUCCCACUGACACAUGUAUAUAUUGUGGCCUAAAUUUUGUGCCCAGCGAAUCAUAGAUUCUUUCACUUUCUCCUCCUUUACCUCCCAAUCCAGGAGGAGGUUGUACAUUUUCGAAAUAUAUUUGUUCUUGGAUUGAAGGAGUCCUUUUUCAAAUUUGGAAGUUUCAUUUGCAAAUCCUUUUUAUAUUAUCUAAACUAAAUCUUUCGUUUAAUUGGAAAUAUUGUAGCCAAUCUGUUAAAUAUGUUCUAAUUUUACCAAAUUCUUUCAACUUUAGUUUGUUGUUAUUUUCCUCCAGGAUCAUUCUGUACGUUGCCCAAUUGCUUUGCAUAUUCUUUUUCUUAAUGGCUAUGGCUUCCAAUGGGGAGGUUCACCGGGGGUUUUGGGUUCUAAGAGAUCUUUAUAUUUGUUCCAUAUCUUAUAUAGUGAUUUUCUUACAAUAUGAUUCAAAAAACCCAUGUGGACCUUCACCUUAUCAUAUAUCAUAUAAGCAUGCCAUCCAAAGUGAUUGUCUAAGUCAACUAAAUCUGCAUCUUUCGAAACUAUCCACUCGUUGAUUGGGACAUAUAUCCCAAUUAUCAUAAAAGAUUCCCCUUGUGAUUUUUAUCUUAAUUAUUAUCCUUUCAUUUGCGUCUUUAUAUAUUAGCUUUGGCUCCAGGUUAGGUUUUACGUAUAUCACCAUACCUCUUUUUUUUCCUUUUUUUUUUGUCUGCUGUUAUAAAUUCUGACCCUAGUUUUGGAUUUAUCAACACUCUUGUGUGUUUUUUAUUUAUAUGUGUCUCUCGGAUACAUGCUAUAUCUAAAUUCUGUUUUUCCACUAUGCGUUCUACCUUGUUUCUUUUCUUUUUAUCAUUCAAUCCUUUUAUAUUCCAUGAUAGUAUUUUUAGAUUCAUUCUUUAUUAAUUUGAAUAAAGAAGAAAGAAGACAAGAAAGAAAGAAAGAGGGGAGAAACAGGAAAAAUCAGAUAUUACAAUUAGACAAUUUAAAAAUGCAGUAUUAACUGCACAGAUUGUUUCUAAGAAGUAACUGCUAAAAGUUGCCUUGGUUUGUUAUGCUCUUUCUUAUACUCUUUUUAUUUGUGGUGCCUAGUCACUGUCAUGAUCUUGAUUUGAUAUUCCUGAUUUGUUGCUGGGGUCUUCAUCAAUUGGUUGCCUACCACAAAUUUAAUUAGCAUUAAUCCAUAACUGGGACUUCCAUUUGUUCCUCAGGCUCUAAUUCCUUUUUGUUUCCAUUGCAGAUUGUGAAAAAUUGGAAAUCAAGAACAAGGGUGACCAUGAGAAAAUCCCCAGAGAGGAGAAGCCACAUAAAAAUUUGGAGUGUGGAGAGAGCUGCAAUCAGAGCUCCCAUUCCAUUUCCCAUCAAAUAAAUCUCAUUAGAAAGAAACCCUACCAGUGCAUGGAAUGUGAAAAGAGCUUCAGUCAGUGCUCCUCUCUCACUUCCCAUCAAAGAAUUCAUACAGGGGAGAAACCCUAUCAGUGUGUGGAAUGUGGAAAAAGCUUCAGUCAGAGCUCCAAUCUCACUUGCCAUCAAAGAAUUCAUACGGGGGAGAAACCCUAUCAGUGUGUGGAAUGUGGAAAGAGCUUCAGUCAGUGCUCCUCUCUCACUUCCCAUCACAGAAUUCAUACAGGGGAGAAACCCUAUCAGUGCUUUGAAUGUGGAAAGAGCUUCAGGAAGAGCUCCCAUCUCACUUCCCAUCAAAGAAUUCAUACAGGGGAGAAACCCUAUCAGUGCAUGGAAUGUGGAAAAAACUUCAUGGAUAGCUCCUCUCUCACUUCCCAUCACAGAAUUCAUACAGGGGAGAAACCCUAUCAGUGCAUGGAAUGUGGAAAGAGCUUCAGUCAAAACUUUUCUCUCACUUCCCAUCACAGAAUUCAUACAGGGGAGAAACCCUAUCAGUGUAUGGAAUGUGGAAAGAGCUUCAGUCAGAGCUCACAUCUUACUUCCCAUCAAAGAAUUCAUACAGGGGAGAAACCCUAUCAGUGCAUGGAAUGUGGAAAGAGCUUCAGUACAAAGGACUCUCUCAUAUCUCAUCAAAGAAUUCAUACAGGGGAGAAACCCUAUCAGUGUGUGGAAUGUGGAAAGAGCUUUAGUCAGAGCUGCAGUCUCACUUCCCAUCAAAGAAUUCAUAUGGGGGAGAAACCCUAUCAGUGUGUGGAAUGUGGAAAGAGCUUCAGUACCAGCUCCAAACUCACUAUCCAUCAAAGAAUUCAUACAGGGGAGAAACCCUAUCAGUGCUUUGAAUGUGGAAAGAGCUUCAGGGAGAGCUCCUUUCUCACUUCCCAUCAGAGAAUUCAUACAGGAGAGAAACCAUAUCAGUGCAUGGAAUGUGGAAAGAGCUUCUGUCAGAGAUCCAAUCUCACUUCUCAUCAAAAAACUCAUAGUGAGGAGAAUCAUAGGAUCAUAGAAUUGUGGAGUUGGAAGUGACCUCUAGUGUAAUCUAGUCCACCCCAUGUGAAGCAGGCAUCGCAGCUAAAGCAUCCAUGACAGGUGACCAUCCAACUUCAUAAAAUCUCAAAGGAUGGAGAUUCCAGCACCUUCCAAGGGAGUCCAUUCCACUAACAGCUUUUGCUGUCAAAAGUUCUUCCUCAUGUUUAGUCAGAAAUCUCCGUUCUUUUAACUUGAAGUCAUUGGGUUGAUGUCCUACCCUCUAGAGCAGGAAGAAAAAAAGGUUUGCUCUAUCUUCCAUUAUUUAUAGUUUUAUUGUGUAUUUUGUGUUUUUAUAGUGUGAUUUUCUGUUGUGAUCACUCUGAGACCUAUGGGAAUAGGGUGGUAUACAAAUUCAAUCAAAUCAAUCAAUAAAUCAAUAGAUUCUUGGUUGCCAUCCUCUGUACAUGUUUCAGCUUGUUGAUAUCCUUUUUAUUAUUUAUAAAAGUCAUGUUCUGCCCUUCAUCCGAAGAUUUCAGUAAUGGUUCUUCGUCAUCCUGGGAUGAAGUGACAAGUGAGAUGCCACAUGAUUCUGUCCUGGGCCCGUUGUUGCUCAACUACUUUAUAAAAAAAAAUUCGGUGGAGGAAUUCAGGGGAUGCUGAUGAAAUUUUCAGGUGAACCAAACUGGGAAGAGCAGCUAAUGCCACAAAAGACAGAAUUGGGAUUCAAAAUGACCUUAAUGGAUUGGAGAACCGGGCCCAAGCUCACAAAAUGAAUUUCAGUAGGGAGAAAAGUAAAGCUUUGCACUUAGGCAGGAAGAACCAGAUGCACCAAUAUAAGACGGAGGUUUGAUGGACAGCAGAGUCUGGGGAUGCAGUGCCUGAGAAUUCCACCAGAGGGCCAGAGCCUCUCUGAUUGGCUACCUUGACAGAGGGAAGGGGAUGGAGCCAGGACUUUGGGCAGGGCAAUAAAAGGGAGAGAGUUGAAGAGGGCUGGAUUUGAGAUGGGAGAGAGGGUUGGAUGGAGGGAGAACUGGCUCUGAUCAUCUGUGAGGAGAAUAUAGAGCCAGGGGAAUAUCUAUAGAGUCAGACUUGUCAGUUUGUAUUUCUUAGUACAGAAAGUAUUGAUCUGAUUGGACACGACUAAACAACAACAACAACAAACUACAAGCCUAUCUCUCUGCUAAACAAUGACUACAAAUGGUUUGCAAAUAUACCGUGUUGUUGUUGUUGUUGUUGUUGUUGUUGUUGUUAUCGUUUAGUCGUUUAGUCGUGUCCGACUCUUUGUGAACCCAUGGACUAGAGCAUGCCAGGCACUCCUGUCUUCCACUGCUUCCCGCAGUUUGGUCAAACUCAUGUUUGUAGCUUCGAGAACGCUGUCCCACCUGUUAGGAUAUUUCCGUUCCACCUUAAAAGGGAGCAGGCUGUGAGUCACAGAGUCUGCGUAUUUCCUGUUCACAGGAUGUUUAUGUUUGCUAUUGCUUUCGUUUUCUCUCUGUGUGUCGUAGACACUAAAGCAGGCAGUCAUGUUUUUCUGUGUUCUGAUCAACGCUGAAUAAACUUGUAAAUAAUGCUCUCCUGAGUGCAACUUUUGGCUGUGCAUUAUCUGCUGAUAGAGUGUGCAUGAGCUCUGGAAUGUGGCAAGAAAUCUUCUAGAAACUCAUGUCGCUAAUUGCUGAUACUGCGUACCUACGGGAGAUCGAUGGAUCGUCCGGCAGCCGGCUUGGGGGCCAUGAUGGACUUUGUCUCCCUGGCAGUAUCCCAACACCACCAUCUCCAAGAAAGUAAAAUCUCACACUGCCUCCAUUUCCUCCCCUUCUAUUUGCCAGGAGGUGAUGGGCCCAGUGGCCAUGAUCUUCGUUUUUUUGAUGUUGAGCCUCAGACCAUAUUUUGUGCUCUGCUCUUUCACCCUCAUUAAAAGGUUCUUUAAUUCCGCGUCACUUUCUGCCAUCAAGGUUGUGUCAUCUGCAUAUCUGAGGUUGUUGAUAUUUCUUCCAGCAAUCUUAAUUCCAGUUUGGGAUUCAUCCAGCCCAGCCCAGGACUGCAGUAAAAUUAAAAUGUUUUGGGAAAUGAUAUCUAAUGAGCUAAAGAAAACGUUCCAUUCAACAUUUGUGAAAAAGCCUGAAGCUUUCUUAUUAGGGAUUGAGGGAAAAGACCUGCCAAAGAAAUUAAAAAAUAUUUUUAUGUAUGCGACAACAGCGGCAAGAGUCUUCAUAGCACAAGGGUGGAAGAGUGAGGAAAUCCUGAUGAAAGAACUGUGGCAAGAAAAACUGAUGGACUAUGCGGAAUUGGCAAAAUUAACACACAAACUACGUGAGAAUGAUAAUUGUGAUUUCAUUUUUGUUCCUUCAAAUGAUUUUUAUUAAGGUUUCAAUAGAAAGUUAAACAGAAAAACAUAAAAGUAGAAGUACAAAAAUACACAAUACAGAAUCC